Molecule: ribosomal RNA, 160 nt
Filed under: uncultured bacterium
Lineage: Bacteria
Description: partial 16S ribosomal RNA
Source: RNAcentral
CACGAAGUUAGCCGGUGCUUAUUCUGUUGGUAACGUCAAAAUUGCAGGGUAUUAACCUACAACCCUUCCUCCCAACUUAAAGUGCUUUACAACCCGAAGGCCUUCUUCACACACGCGGCAUUGCUGGAUCAGGGUUGCCCCCAUUGUCCAAUAUUCCCCA